CCUACGGGUGGCAGCAGUAGGGAAUAUUGCUCAAUGGGGGAAACCCUGAUGCAGCAACGCCGCGUGGAGGAUGAAGGUUUUCGGUUUGUAAACUUCUUUUAGGAGAGAAGAUAAUGACGGUAUCUCACGAAUAAGCACCGGCUAACUCCGUGCCAGCAGCCGCGGUAAUACGGAGGGGGCAAGCGUUAUUCGGAUUUACUGGGCGUAAAGAGUGCGUAGGCGGGCGCACAAGUCUGAUGUGAAAUCCUGGGGCUUAACCACAGAACUGCAUUUGAAACUAUGCGUCUGGAGUGUGGGAGAGGUAGGUGGAAUUCUUAGUGUAGGGGUAAAAUCCGUAGAUAUCAAGAGGAAUACUCAUUGCGAAGGCGACCUACUGGAACAUUACUGACGUUCAGGCACGAAAGCGUGGGGAGCAAACAGGAUUAGAUACCCUAGUAGUC
RNAcentral lists this ribosomal RNA (440 nucleotides) under uncultured bacterium. RNAcentral's name for it is "partial 16S ribosomal RNA". It matches the Rfam family "Bacterial small subunit ribosomal RNA", at positions 338 to 795 of the family's 1533-position model. The record is from RNAcentral.